Molecule: non-coding RNA, 21 nt
Filed under: Caenorhabditis elegans
Lineage: Eukaryota; Metazoa; Nematoda; Chromadorea; Rhabditida; Rhabditidae
Source: RNAcentral
UAUACAUAAACGUACACAUAA